Molecule: unclassified non-coding RNA, 561 nt
Filed under: uncultured eukaryote
Lineage: Eukaryota
Description: partial contains 18S rRNA, ITS1, 5.8S rRNA, ITS2 and 28S rRNA
Rfam family: 5.8S ribosomal RNA (bases 144-298)
Source: RNAcentral
CAUCGUCUACCUGCAAUUACUGUGAAGAUUCCCUGUGAAAUUUUCGCGGUGCAAUGGGGGCGCUCGUUCUGCGUUCGCUCACCUGCGUGCCAAUUUUAACCUUUUUUAACAUUUUGUUCUUCAAAAUCCAAAAUCAAUCUAACAACUUUUAGCAAUGGAUGUCUCGGCUCGAUUAACGAUGAAGGACGCCGCAAAAUGCGAUAGGCACUGUGAAAGGCAGAAUUCCGUGAAUCAAUAGAAAGCUGAACGCAUACUGCGCCUCUAGGAAUUUCCUAGCGGCAUCUCUGUUUGAGGGCGUCUGUACUCUCAUGUGGUCUCAAAGAUUCUAACAGAUUUUUGGGAUUACGUUCUUGUGCGCUAGCGACGUUCACUCCGUUGGCGUAUGAAAUAAACUAGCAUUCAAUUCCUAAGCAACCGCUUGGCGUGUCUUCGACAUAAGAGCGUGCGGCGAGGGCGUUGUUACUAGUUCAAAGCUUUUUGAACGCUUUUCGCAUUCAAAUUUACCGCAUCAAGUCAGAGAAAGAUUACCCGUUGAAAUUUUAAAGCAUAUAAGUAAGCGGA